AAGUCGUAACAAGGUUUCCGUAGGUGAACCUGCGGAAGGAUCAUUAUUGAAUGAACUUGGCGUGGUUGUAGCUGGCUCUCUCGAGAGUAUGUGCACAUCCGUCAUCUUUAUCUCUCCACCUGUGCACAUUUUGUAGACUUGGUAUUUGAGACUUUCUGGGGUAACUCUCAGUUAGACUUAGAUUUCCAGGCCUAUGUUUUUCAUAUACCCUAUAGUAUGUAACAGAAUGUAUCAAUGAGCCUUGUGCUUAUAAACUAUAUACAACUUUCAACAACGGAUCUCUUGGCUCUC
Molecule: unclassified non-coding RNA, 291 nt
Filed under: Kuehneromyces rostratus
Lineage: Eukaryota; Fungi; Basidiomycota; Agaricomycetes; Agaricales; Kuehneromycetaceae
Description: partial internal transcribed spacer region
Rfam family: Eukaryotic small subunit ribosomal RNA (bases 1-46)
Source: RNAcentral